GGGAUGUGUGCUGCCUCGGUUGGGGGCGCUCAGCCAGGAGCCCUAGCAGCACGGGGUUGCCCGUGUCACGGGAGAGGUCUUCCAGGGACUCUGCUCCACGUCACAGGGUGGCUACCGUGGCCCCGGCAUUGCCUCCAGACCCGGUGGCAUCAGGAAAGGGGAGCGGCUUUGCGGCUGGGAGGGAACCCUCGCCGAGAGGCCGCUGCCGUCGGAGGUCCGGCCCGGGCGCUCAUUGCCUCCCGAGCCCGCGGCGCGCAGGGUGCCGAGGGGUAAGGCACCCCGAGCGGGCCGCACCCCAGGAACUCCGCGUCCCCACGUCCGUCCCCAGGCCCGCUCGGGCCCCUGCUCGUCAGUCCUGCUGGGUUUCCUUUAGCGGAGCGUGCACUUCGCAGCACCCAGUCCUCUGACUGCAUGUCGCCCCGUUCUCCUUCUUCUGCCCUGGCUCACCGGACCGUCGGCGUGGGGGCCUGUGGGCGCCCCAGCUGCGGCGGGACACGACUCUGACGUCCCCGGUGCGACGGCCACCUGACCCAGCGAGCCCAGUAAAGCAGACUCCAGCCUGGUGUGGGGGGCCUCGGGCGGCCGGAGUCCAGGUGGCGGGGCCCGGGGCUGCGCCUGUGUCGGGUCGCCUUCGCUCCGUGCCAGUCUUUGCUGCCUUGCUGGGCAAGGGGGUCGGUCCUUGGGCCCAGCGUGCGGGGGACGGUGAGCCUGUGAUGCCCGUGCUGGUGGCGCCCAGCCAGGCGGGCCCUCUGACGACGCACCCUGGACAAAGACCGCAGACCCAGACCGGCACCUGCCACUUCGAGGCUCCUAGUCUUUAUUAUUCGGGGAAUGCAGCGUUCCCAGGGGGGGGGGAGGCCUCGGCUGAACCCACUUGUGGCCGCCAGGGGGCAAGCAGCUGCGGGGCAGGGAGGGCCGAGGACGGUGGCGUACCCAGGACUGAUGGCUAGGUACCACGUCCCCCUGGCGGUGACACCUGUGGCCUGCACUUCACGUCCCUGAGU
This 1004-nucleotide long non-coding RNA is filed under the name Canis lupus familiaris (dog). RNAcentral's name for it is "lncRNA (ENSCAFG00845023012.1)". The record is from RNAcentral. Lineage: Eukaryota; Metazoa; Chordata; Mammalia; Carnivora; Canidae.